GUGAGGGGCCGUGAGGGGCCGUGAGGGCAGUUACUGACGUUGUGGGACGGGGGGGCAGCAUUUCAAAUUUCACAUCGUGUCUAUGGGUUAAACGGAGCCUAUGUCCCUUUUUUUUACCUCUGUUGCCUAAAAGCGGCACUUAAAAGAAACUUCUGAGGCUCAAUUCGUGAGUUUCAGAAGCCAGGCAUUCCUUUACCUCGACGCCCUGCGCGGCCGCAGCACGACGGGUGCCCUGGGAAUCAUUUCACCAAAGUGCACACCGAGCUUUCCGCUCAUUAAGGGGAAGAGCCACAGUUUUGUGAGGGACAAGGAGCAGAUGAACUGAUCUACCACGACAGUUCCCAUGGAGCCAACGAGCCUGAGAAUGAAGGAAGUGAGAAAAUCAAAUGUCCAUGAAACCCACCACAACCACCACAAUUCUGCUUUCCUGUAGCUGCUGCAGGAGCUACAGUAAUUAAUUUAAUAAUUAGUGUUUAGUAACAGGGGACAGAUGCUGGCUCUGCACAAAAACACCUCCUCAAAGCUGUGCUCUCAUUGCUGCGUCAGGAAUAGUUCAGAGUCAGCUGACAAGAAUAAGGUGGCAAAAAGAUUGGCCACAAGCCUUAUUAGGUAAUUUCUGCUCCCAACUUCUUACUCAUACCUGGCACACAGAGGCAACGGAACAGGUAAAUGUUUGCCAUUAAGGAGGUUCUGAACUAACCACAGACUUUCAGCACUUAAGACAUUCAUGCUUUAAAAACUGGCUUAUGAAUCUAUUUUUUAUUAAACAACAUACUCCUUC
Molecule: long non-coding RNA, 781 nt
Organism: Pipra filicauda (Wire-tailed manakin)
Lineage: Eukaryota; Metazoa; Chordata; Aves; Passeriformes; Pipridae
Exons: 2
Source: RefSeq, a predicted model, not a curated record